AUGGGCACAGUUUUAAACUAGGUGGUUAUCCUCCAUGGAAGAUCACCGAUCGAAAGCUGUGCCCAAAGCAAACCCCAGCCAUUGUAAAACAGCGGCGUGUUGGCCCUCAGUGCUCGCGUCUCUACCUGAACCUUGGCACAAAG
Drosophila melanogaster (fruit fly) is the source of this 143-nucleotide small nucleolar RNA. NCBI's taxonomy places the organism in Eukaryota, Metazoa, Arthropoda, Insecta, Diptera, Drosophilidae. The record is from Ensembl.